Non-coding RNA from Trichomalopsis sarcophagae, 46 nucleotides. Lineage: Eukaryota; Metazoa; Arthropoda; Insecta; Hymenoptera; Pteromalidae. The record is from Rfam.
UAAUCAGCUCUUUUCAGAGCUACCACAUAUAUCUCAACGUAAACAU